Molecule: ribosomal RNA, 253 nt
Filed under: uncultured bacterium
Lineage: Bacteria
Description: partial 16S ribosomal RNA
Rfam family: Bacterial small subunit ribosomal RNA
Source: RNAcentral
GACGAGGGGUCCAAGCGUUGUUCGGAAUCAUUGGGCGUAAAGCGGGUGUAGGUGGAUCUGUAAGUCAGGAGUGAAAGCCCCGAGCUUAACUUGGGAAGUGCUUUUGAUACUGCAGAUCUUGAAUGUGGGAGAGGAUCGUGGAAUUCCAGGUGUAGUGGUGAAAUACGUAGAUAUCUGGAGGAACACCGGUGGCGAAGGCGGCGAUCUGGCCCAGCAUUGACACUGAGACCCGAAAGCGUGGGGAUCAAACAGG